UAUUACAAUGAAGAGUUUGAUCCUGGCUCAGGAUGAACGCUAGCUACAGGCUUAACACAUGCAAGUCGAGGGGCAGCAUGGUCUUAGCUUGCUAAGGCCGAUGGCGACCGGCGCACGGGUGAGUAACACGUAUCCAACCUGCCGUCUACUCUUGGACAGCCUUCUGAAAGGAAGAUUAAUACAAGAUGGCAUCAUGAGUCCGCAUGUUCACAUGAUUAAAGGUAUUCCGGUAGACGAUGGGGAUGCGUUCCAUUAGAUAGUAGGCGGGGUAACGGCCCACCUAGUCUUCGAUGGAUAGGGGUUCUGAGAGGAAGGUCCCCCACAUUGGAACUGAGACACGGUCCAAACUCCUACGGGAGGCAGCAGUGAGGAAUAUUGGUCAAUGGGCGAGAGCCUGAACCAGCCAAGUAGCGUGAAGGAUGACUGCCCUAUGGGUUGUAAACUUCUUUUAUAAAGGAAUAAAGUCGGGUAUGGAUACCCGUUUGCAUGUACUUUAUGAAUAAGGAUCGGCUAACUCCGUGCCAGCAGCCGCGGUAAUACGGAGGAUCCGAGCGUUAUCCGGAUUUAUUGGGUUUAAAGGGAGCGUAGAUGGAUGUUUAAGUCAGUUGUGAAAGUUUGCGGCUCAACCGUAAAAUUGCAGUUGAUACUGGAUAUCUUGAGUGCAGUUGAGGCAGGCGGAAUUCGGGGUGUAGCGGUGAAAUGCUUAGAUAUCACGAAGAACUCCGAUUGCGAAGGCAGCCUGCUAAGCUGCAACUGACAUUGAGGCUCGAAAGUGUGGGUAUCAAACAGGAUUAGAUACCCUGGUAGUCCACACGGUAAACGAUGAAUACUCGCUGUUUGCGAUAUACAGCAAGCGGCCAAGCGAAAGCGUUAAGUAUUCCACCUGGGGAGUACGCCGGCAACGGUGAAACUCAAAGGAAUUGACGGGGGCCCGCACAAGCGGAGGAACAUGUGGUUUAAUUCGAUGAUACGCGAGGAACCUUACCCGGGCUUAAAUUGCAGAUGAAUUACGGUGAAAGCCGUAAGCCGCAAGGCAUCUGUGAAGGUGCUGCAUGGUUGUCGUCAGCUCGUGCCGUGAGGUGUCGGCUUAAGUGCCAUAACGAGCGCAACCCUUGUUGUCAGUUACUAACAGGUUCCGCUGAGGACUCUGACAAGACUGCCAUCGUAAGAUGUGAGGAAGGUGGGGAUGACGUCAAAUCAGCACGGCCCUUACGUCCGGGGCUACACACGUGUUACAAUGGGGGGUACAGAGGGCCGCUACCACGCGAGUGGAUGCCAAUCCCCAAAACCUCUCUCAGUUCGGACUGGAGUCUGCAACCCGACUCCACGAAGCUGGAUUCGCUAGUAAUCGCGCAUCAGCCACGGCGCGGUGAAUACGUUCCCGGGCCUUGUACACACCGCCCGUCAAGCCAUGGGAGCCGGGGGUACCUGAAGUGCGUAACCGCGAGGAGCGCCCUAGGGUAAAACUGGUGACUGGGGCUAAGUCGUAACAAGGUAGCCGUACCGGAAGGUGCGGCUGGAACACCUCCUUUCU
Molecule: ribosomal RNA, 1534 nt
Filed under: Phocaeicola vulgatus
Lineage: Bacteria; Pseudomonadati; Bacteroidota; Bacteroidia; Bacteroidales; Bacteroidaceae
Description: bacterial SSU rRNA
Rfam family: Bacterial small subunit ribosomal RNA
Source: RNAcentral